RNAcentral lists this ribosomal RNA (1165 nucleotides) under Alternaria sp. CHTAM37. RNAcentral's name for it is "eukaryotic LSU rRNA". The stretch from base 523 to 1165 matches the Rfam family "Eukaryotic large subunit ribosomal RNA", at positions 1 to 653 of the family's 3401-position model. Lineage: Eukaryota; Fungi; Ascomycota; Dothideomycetes; Pleosporales; Pleosporaceae. The record is from RNAcentral.
AACAAGGUCUCCGUAGGUGAACCUGCGCAGGGAUCAUUACACAAAUAUGAAGGCGGGCUGGAACCUCUCGGGGUUACAGCCUUGCUGAAUUAUUCACCCUUGUCUUUUGCGUACUUCUUGUUUCCUUGGUGGGUUCGCCCACCACUAGGACAAACAUAAACCUUUUGUAAUUGCAAUCAGCGUCAGUAACAAAUUAAUAAUUACAACUUUCAACAACGGAUCUCUUGGUUCUGGCAUCGAUGAAGAACGCAGCGAAAUGCGAUAAGUAGUGUGAAUUGCAGAAUUCAGUGAAUCAUCGAAUCUUUGAACGCACAUUGCGCCCUUUGGUAUUCCAAAGGGCAUGCCUGUUCGAGCGUCAUUUGUACCCUCAAGCUUUGCUUGGUGUUGGGCGUCUUGUCUCUAGCUUUGCUGGAGACUCGCCUUAAAGUAAUUGGCAGCCGGCCUACUGGUUUCGGAGCGCAGCACAAGUCGCACUCUCUAUCAGCAAAGGUCUAGCAUCCAUUAAGCCUUUUUUUCAACUUUUGACCUCGGAUCAGGUAGGGAUACCCGCUGAACUUAAGCAUAUCAAUAAGCGGAGGAAGAGCAAAAGAAACCAACAGGGAUUGCCCUAGUAACGGCGAGUGAAGCGGCAACAGCUCAAAUUUGAAAUCUGGCUCUUUUAGAGUCCGAGUUGUAAUUUGCAGAGGGCGCUUUGGCUUUGGCAGCGGUCCAAGUUCCUUGGAACAGGACGUCACAGAGGGUGAGAAUCCCGUACGUGGUCGCUGGCUAUUGCCGUGUAAAGCCCCUUCGACGAGUCGAGUUGUUUGGGAAUGCAGCUCUAAAUGGGAGGUACAUUUCUUCUAAAGCUAAAUAUUGGCCAGAGACCGAUAGCGCACAAGUAGAGUGAUCGAAAGAUGAAAAGCACUUUGGAAAGAGAGUCAAACAGCACGUGAAAUUGUUGAAAGGGAAGCGCUUGCAGCCAGACUUGCUUACAGUUGCUCAUCCGGGUUUCUACCCGGUGCACUCUUCUGUAGGCAGGCCAGCAUCAGUUUGGGCGGUAGGAUAAAGGUCUCUGUCACGUACCUCCUUUCGGGGAGGCCUUAUAGGGGAGACGACAUACUACCAGCCUGGACUGAGGUCCGCGCAUCUGCUAGGAUGCUGGCGUAAUGGCUGUAAGCGGCCCGUC